CACAGCAACAUCCAAUCAAAUUCGCCAAUUUCUCAUUUCUCAACUGCCCCACUGCUCUCGCCUCCUCGAGGAACUGGCGAGCGUCAGGCCAAGCGGACUUGUUGAAGCGUUUGACAGCGAUCCAGCGAUCAUCAUCUUGAAGUCUACAUCUAUAAACCACAUUGGGAGCUUUCUCGCCAUGCUCCGAUACUAUAUUGUCCGCACUGAACCCUGACGUGGCAGCUCGUAGCUGCUCUAAGCUGAACUCUCUAAACCCAGGUAGCAAGUCUCCAUUCUCGAGAUCGGAGGAGGCAUUGAGGUUGGAUUUGAGAUUGGAUGGCCACCAGCAGAGUGAUAAUUUGGAGCACCGAGCUCCCAUUUGGCUAGAACUUCAAUUACUAUAAAUCACAAGAGAAAACCCAGAAAA
This 406-nucleotide unclassified non-coding RNA is filed under the name Hevea brasiliensis (rubber tree). The record is from RNAcentral. Lineage: Eukaryota; Viridiplantae; Streptophyta; Magnoliopsida; Malpighiales; Euphorbiaceae.